This 417-nucleotide ribosomal RNA is filed under the name uncultured bacterium. RNAcentral describes it as "bacterial SSU rRNA". It matches the Rfam family "Bacterial small subunit ribosomal RNA", at positions 1066 to 1482 of the family's 1533-position model. The record is from RNAcentral.
CGUGAGAUGUUGGGUUAAGUCCCGCAACGAGCGCAACCCUCAUCCUUAGUUACCAUCAGGUAAUGCUGGGGACUUUAAGGAAACUGCCAGUGGUAAACUGGAGGAAGGUGGGGAUGAUGUCAAGUCAUCAUGGCCCUUAUGGAGUGGGCUACACACGUGCUACAAUGGUGGCUACAAUGGGCUGCAAAGUCGCGAGGCUAAGCUAAUCCCUUAAAAGCCAUCUCAGUUCGGAUUGUACUCUGCAACUCGAGUGCAUGAAGUUGGAAUCGCUAGUAAUCGUGGAUCAGCACGCCACGGUGAAUACGUUCUCGGGUCUUGUACACACUGCCCGUCACGCCAUGGGAAUUGGUUUCACUCGAAGCUAACGACCUAACCGCAAGGAGGGAGUUAUUUAAAGUGGGAUCGGUGACUGGGGUG